UGUGCUCUUCGGCUCUGUCAAUACCACCAUGACCGAUAUCCAAACUACAGUGGAAAAGGCUAGCCUCUGGAUUUGCUUAAAAAGAGACGAUGAGCGAUGGUUAGGAGAAUAUUGAGCUGUAUUUAAUAACCAGUUGAUCUAGC
Octopus sinensis (East Asian common octopus) is the source of this 143-nucleotide long non-coding RNA. RefSeq lists it as uncharacterized. The transcript has 3 exons. Lineage: Eukaryota; Metazoa; Mollusca; Cephalopoda; Octopoda; Octopodidae. The record is from RefSeq and is a predicted model, not a curated record.